This is a long non-coding RNA of Balaenoptera ricei (Rice's whale), 825 nucleotides long. RefSeq lists it as uncharacterized. The transcript has 4 exons. The record is from RefSeq and is a predicted model, not a curated record. NCBI's taxonomy places the organism in Eukaryota, Metazoa, Chordata, Mammalia, Artiodactyla, Balaenopteridae.
GUGGCCUUUGCAAAUGACAGCUGUGAAUGCUGCUGAGCUGUGCAAGGAGGAUGAGGAAGAGCUAGGGAGCUGUCAUCUUUCCAACAGGUACAUUUCUUCCACUCAUCUCCAUUCCAAAGAUCUGGAUACCAGCUCCAAUCCUGUCACCAGAUAGCCAUCUGUUCUUGGAGCCCAUGCUGUGUGUUCUCCCACCACAGAGUGGAGUUUUGGGGAAGUGACUGCCAGCCAGGAAUUAACCCAAGGCCUCUUUCAUCAAGGUAGAUGCAGAAGAUCCAGCAUAAACUUCAAAGAAGACCCUAGAAGAUGGUGAAGCCUAAGAUAGGAGGCACCUCGGUUUCUGAAUCACUGCUUUGACAAACUCUCAUUUGGGCCUUAUAUUAGGGAACAAUGAAUCUAUUGUGUUAAAGCACCAAGAUUUGAGUGUUAUCUGUUAUACUAGCUAUUGUACUAUAGAUUCCAGUGAAAAGAGAUCCACCAGUACCUCAGACCUGGUCCCAAUCCCCUGCCAUCUUGGAAACCAUUGACUUCCUUCCCUGUGGACACCACAUCACCCAUCCUAAGCAGCUUUCUUUGUGCUCUAUAUAGUUGUAGAGCAGCUGGUCUGCUUGUCAAGCAACCAAUAAAUCUAUGUUUGGCAAAACAGUAGUUUUCAUCAGUAAGUGACCUUAAGAUAACAUUUACAUUGCUGGAGACAUCAUUCCAACCCUGAACCAGUGGCAUCCCAACUCAGGCCCUCCUGGUGGCAGGAGACAGGAAAACUAAUGAAGUGUGGGGAUCAUUAAUGACUUUAUCUUCUCACUCACCCAGCCCCUCCCCCUUUUCAAA